RNAcentral lists this ribosomal RNA (465 nucleotides) under uncultured bacterium. RNAcentral's name for it is "partial 16S ribosomal RNA". It matches the Rfam family "Bacterial small subunit ribosomal RNA", at positions 338 to 795 of the family's 1533-position model. The record is from RNAcentral.
CCUACGGGAGGCAGCAGUGGGGAAUAUUGCGCAAUGGGCGAAAGCCUGACGCAGCGACGCCGCGUGAGGGAUGAAGGUCUUCGGAUCGUAAACCUCUGUCAGCAGGGAAGAACGGUCACUGUGCUAAUCAGCAGUGAAUUGACGGUACCUGCAAAGGAAGCACCGGCUAACUCCGUGCCAGCAGCCGCGGUAAUACGGAGGGUGCGAGCGUUAAUCGGAAUUACUGGGCGUAAAGCGCUCGUAGGCGGUAUGUCAAGUCAAGGGUGAAAUCCCCGCGCUCAACGUGGGAACGGCCUUUGAAACUGGCAAAGGAGAGGGUGGGAGAGGAUAGUGGAAUUCCAGGUGUAGGAGUGAAAUGCGGAGAUAUGCGGAGGAACAUCAGUGGCGAAGGCGACUAUCUGGCACAUAACUGACGCUGAGGAGCGAAAGCGUGGGUAGCAAACAGGAUUAGAUACCCCUGUAGUC